This 337-nucleotide ribosomal RNA is filed under the name uncultured soil bacterium. RNAcentral's name for it is "bacterial SSU rRNA". It matches the Rfam family "Bacterial small subunit ribosomal RNA", at positions 26 to 367 of the family's 1533-position model. The record is from RNAcentral.
AGAUUGAACGCUGGCGGCAUGCUUUACACAUGCAAGUCGAACGGCAGCGCGGGGCAACCUGGCGGCGAGUGGCGAACGGGUGAGUAAUAUAUCGGAACGUACCCAAGAGUGGGGGAUAACGUAGCGAAAGUUACGCUAAUACCGCAUACGAUCUAUGGAUGAAAGUGGGGGAUCGCAAGACCUCAUGCUCCUGGAGCGGCCGAUAUCUGAUUAGCUAGUUGGUGAGGUAAAGCUACACCAAGGCGACGAUCAGUAGCUGUCUGAGAGGACCACCGAGCCACACUGGAACUGAGACACGUCCAGACUCCUACGGGAGCAGCGAGGUGGGGUAAUUUUU